UUUCCUGAGAUUGGAACUUAGAUAAUUUAUUGGACCCACCACCACCACCCGAGGGGUUUCAGGAGGCGCUGUGAAGUCGAGCCUAGCUGCAUUCUGCAUGGUGUCAGCACCUGCUCUCCUUCCUCUCCAUCACCCGUGUCUGGAAUGAUAAAGAAGAUGAUGUAUGGGAAAGUCAAGUAUUUGAGCUGUACUUGGAAGAAAUGGCGCAAGGAGCAGUUGUUAAACAGUACCACUAUUCAAAUAAGCGAUUUCAAGAUUAACUUGGUCAUGCCCUUGGAUUUGGGCACAGUGCCAAGCGUGCAGGAACAGCACCAUCAAUCCAGCCAUCACCUGCAGGUGAGUGUGAGAAGUGCCAACUGAAGCAGGUAUGCUGGGAACCAAAGGGGCUUCUGCACCUGACUAAUGAAAUCUACAAGGACUGUGGCAUGGCAUUGUCUUCUCAUCCUUAGAAGAGGUUUCCUCACACCAAGACUGUGAAGUUACUCACUCAUAUGUUUAAUAUCUGUAUAGCUUCCUUUUAAAUCUAUUGAUUAUUUUUUAAAUUGAUACAUAAUAGGUGUCCAUAUUUUGGGGGCACAUGUGAUGUUUUGGUCCAUGCAUUUAGUGUAUAAUGAUUCAGUUAGCAUGAUUGAAAUACCCAUUUCCUCAAACAUUUAUCUUUUCUUUAUGUUGGGAACUUGAAUUCUCAUCUUUUAGGGCUUUUAACAAAUGUAUAUACAAUAAAUUAUUUAUAGUCACCCUACUCUACUGUCAAAUGCUAAAUCUUAUUUCUUCUACCUAAGUGUAUAUUUGUACCCGUUAAUCAACCUGUCUUCAUCUGCCCCUAGCCUUCACCUCUCCACCCUCUGGUGGAACCACCAAUUUACAGUAUAUCUCUACGCGAUCCACUUUUCUAGCUCCCAUAUAUGGGUGAGAACACGCGAUCUUUGUCUUUUUGUGCCUGUCUUAUUUCACUUAACAUAAUGACCUCCAGUUCCAUCCACAUUGCUCCAAAUGACAGGAUUUAAUUUCUUUUAAUGGCCAAAUAGUAUUCCAUUGUGUUUAUAUACCAUGUUUUACUAUUCAUCAUGAGGGACAUUUACACUGAUUGCACAUCUUGGCUAUUACGAAUAGUGCUGCAAUAAACAUGGUAGUUCAGAUAUCUCUUCCACAUACUGAUUUCUUUUCUUUUGGUUAUAUGCUCAGCAAUGGGAUUGCUAAAUAAUACAGUAGUUCUAUUUUUGUUUUUCUGAGCAGUUCUCCAUAAAGUUUUUCAUAGUGGCUGUACUAAUUUACAUUUCUUACCAGUAUACGAGUGUCCUUCUUUCCCCAAAUCCUGGCCCUGUAUCUGUUAUUUUUUGUCUCUUUGAUAAAAGCCAUUUUAAAUUGGGUGGGUUGAUAACUCAUAAUGGUUGUGAUUUGCAUAUCCCUGAUAAUUAGUGAGUGAUGUUGAGCAUUUUUCCAUAUACCUGUUGGCCAUUUGCACGUCUUCUUUUGAGGAAUGUCUAUUCAUAUUUGUACCCAUUUUUAAUUGGAUUAUUUGAGUUUUCUUUUCUUUUUCUUGAUAUUACGUUGUUUGAGUUCCUUAUGUGUUCUGGAUUUUAAUUCUUUCUUAGAUGCAUAGUUUGUGCAUGUUUUCUCCUGGCAUUUUUGACAACAUAGGUGAACCUAGAGGAGGUUAAGUUAAAUAAGCCAAGCACCGAAGGACAAGUACUACAUGACCUCACUCAUAUAUGGAAUCUGGAAAAGUUGACCUCAUAGAAGUAGAGAGUAGAAUAGUGAUUACCAGCAGGAGAGAGAGUAGGAAGGUCGAUGGGGGAGGUUAGUCAAUGGGUACAAAGUUACAGUUAGCUAGGAGGAAUAAAUUCUGGUAUUCUAUUGCACAGUAUGUUGAUUAGAGUCAAUAAUAAUGUAUCAUAUACUUCAAAAUAGCUAGAACAUAGGAUUGAAUGUUCUCAUUACAAAGAAAUGACAAGUGUUUGAGGUGAUGGAUAUGAUAAUUACCCUUUGAUAAUUAUACAGUGUAUGUAUGUAUCAAAACAUCAACACAGUACCCCAUAAAUAUCUACAAUUAUUAUGUAUCAAUUAAAACCAAAAUAAAGCUUUAAAAAUGUUACAUAGGCAGUAAAAAAUGUUAUAUUUUAUUAAUUGCUAGACAAGUGUGGGAAAACAAGUAAGCAAUUGACACCGCCAAAUUCUUAUUACAUUUGAGAUGAAAGAUUUAUUCACACCACAAAAGAAAGAUAAUCACAACAAAAUAUACACUAAUUUAAAAAAUGAAAGAUCAUAAUGACAUAAAAUGUUAUUUUUAAGUGUGUAAAAGUAUUUUGUUUGCUUCUACAUAAAUUUCUAUUCAUAAAAGAAUAACAAACAUUAAAAUACAGUGACAGUUUAUAUUUCUUCUAUAGAAUGAACAUAGAUAUAACCCUGAAGCUUUUAGUUUACAGGGAGUUUCUAUGACAAACUAAACUAAUGAUCAAACACAUUAGUUAUUUCCAGAUUCACAUAGAUACACAUUCACCCACUAAACUGAGAAAUAAGCAUUUCAUAUUCCCUUUCAUUUUGCUAUAAAGCAUCUUUUCUUUCUACUAAAAGAAAAGUGAG
This 2583-nucleotide long non-coding RNA is filed under the name Callithrix jacchus (white-tufted-ear marmoset). RNAcentral's name for it is "lncRNA (ENSCJAG00000084649.1)". Lineage: Eukaryota; Metazoa; Chordata; Mammalia; Primates; Cebidae. The record is from RNAcentral.